RNAcentral lists this long non-coding RNA (211 nucleotides) under Manihot esculenta (cassava). RNAcentral's name for it is "long non-coding RNA (MESC_LNC008804)". Lineage: Eukaryota; Viridiplantae; Streptophyta; Magnoliopsida; Malpighiales; Euphorbiaceae. The record is from RNAcentral.
UACAGAAUGAAAGACCAGUGGGACCCAUUCUACGUUCGCUGGCACCAUGUAAGAGAAAGACCAGGACCCAUUCUACGUUCUGGCACUUUGGAAUGUUAUGUUUAAGUGAAAGACCAGGACCCAUUCUACGUUCUGGCACUAUGGAAUUAUGUAGAGGGCUAAUGGUGACAAGUUCAUCCUUUAUGUGAUAUGUUUGUGAUGUGAUGCAUUU